GAUGAACGCUGGCGGCGUGCCUAAUACAUGCAAGUCGAGCGGUAAGGCCCUUCGGGGUACACGAGCGGCGGACGGGUGAGUAACGCGUAAGAAUCUACCCCAAACUGAGGGAUAAGCACCAGAAAUGGUGUCUAAUACCGCAUGUGCUCUACGGAGUAAAGCUACGGCGGUUUGGGAAGAGCUUGCGUAUGGUUAGCUAGUUGGUAAGGUAAUGGCUUACCAAGGCGACGAUCAUUAGCUGGUCUGAGAGGAUGAUCAGCCACACUGGGACUGAGACACGGCCCAGACUCCUACGGGAGGCAGCAGUAGGGAAUUUUCCACAAUGGGGGCAACCCUAAUGGAGCAACGCCGCGUGCAGGAUGAAGGCCUUCGGGUUGUAAACUGCUUUUGUCUGUGACGAAUAUGACGGUAGCAGACGAAUAAGGAUCGGCUAACUACGUGCCAGCAGCCGCGGUAA
This 457-nucleotide ribosomal RNA is filed under the name uncultured bacterium. RNAcentral describes it as "partial 16S ribosomal RNA". It matches the Rfam family "Bacterial small subunit ribosomal RNA", at positions 28 to 523 of the family's 1533-position model. The record is from RNAcentral.